AUACUUACCUGGCAGGGGAGAUACCAUGGUUAUCAAGACGGUUUUCCCAGGGCGAGACUUAUCCACUGCACUUGCAGGUAUUGACUCCUUCAAUUUCCCAAGUGUGGGAAGCUCGACUACAUAAUUUGUAGUAGUUGGGGACAGUGUUUGUGCCCUGCCCGGG
Molecule: small nuclear RNA, 163 nt
Organism: Mus caroli (Ryukyu mouse)
Lineage: Eukaryota; Metazoa; Chordata; Mammalia; Rodentia; Muridae
Product: U1 spliceosomal RNA
Source: RefSeq, a predicted model, not a curated record